RNAcentral lists this long non-coding RNA (39447 nucleotides) under Physcomitrium patens. RNAcentral's name for it is "long non-coding RNA (PPAT_LNC007718)". The record is from RNAcentral. Lineage: Eukaryota; Viridiplantae; Streptophyta; Bryopsida; Funariales; Funariaceae.
UGUACUCUGGCUAUCUGAAAUCAAUUAUCAAACUAUAAAACAUCGAGGCUUACUACUUCCAUCUUAAUUCAACCCAUAAUCCAUUCUAUGAUUAUCAAUUCAACAAUACUUCUCUCAAUCACAAUUCUUCAUAAGCAAAUAAUAAAGAAAGCAAAGAGGUAAUACCAAACUUAUCCCACCUUAUGACUCUCAGUCUGGCUCUUGGCUUAGCUUUCUUCAACCUAUUUAUCCUACCAAAAGAUGAUCCGUUGGCCAGCUGAUUCUAAAGGUUAUGAUCCUUUGAAUUCUUAACCAUUUAUUCUACUAAUAACCUACUCUUAACAACUAAACUGCCUAACCAUCAGUCUAAUUCUCAAGGUUGUCAAUAACCAACCAAUAACUUACCACAAAGUUUAUUUACCUAUUCUAUAUAGCGCCACUAUUAAUUGUGCAGCGUCCUCACAAAUAUUAUUUAGCCUCAACUUAUAAAGACGUAGCAGCAUUGGCUUCUUAAGUCAAUGGCAUUGGCUUACUUCCUUUGUUAAUGUGGCUAGUUCAAUAUGCAACAUCGCAACUUCUACCUACAGUCGUUCUUGUCAUUCCAUCCAAUCGGUCUCCAUCCUUACUUUCUCAGACACCAUGUUCACCAUCUUCUCUGUAACCACAAAAGAAAACAUGAUGCUUGUUAAGAAUCCCCCUCCCACUUCUUACUAUGGUCCAAUCAAUUGGGUCCACUCACCCUUUUGUAACAGAAAACUCGUCCCAAGUUUAUGUAUAGUAAAAUUUAAGCCGAUUGCCAUUGAUCUGUGUUAUAAAUUUAAUAUCCAUAAAAUCUUCCAAUUGUAAUAAAAUAUUUGGAAAUCCAUCAAUAACUCGAUAUGGCCCAUGCCAUCGAACUUAAAAUUUUCUUGGAAAUUUUUUAAAUCGACUAUCAUAAAGAACUACUAAAUCAUUUGGCAUAAAAGCCUUUGAUCUAAGCUUACUAUCAUAAUAAGUCUUCCUUCGUUUUUGUGUCAUUUCCAUGAUCAUUAAUGCAUUGGCUCUAGUUUCAUCUAAUUUUUCUAAUUCUUCUAAACGCUGUCGUUGUUGUAUAACGUGCUAUCUUGCUUGAGAACGUGCCAGGCGUCUGGCUGUAGGAGGUAGUAUGGUGUUUCGCUAGUAUUCAAAUAAUCUAUCGGGUUCUUGACUACCCAAAUAUAAUCUAUAUCGAAUUGCAAUAUAAAAGCUUAAUUCCAAUAUAAAAUGCCUAGAGACCCUAUAUAACUUCAAUCUCUUUUGUUAUUUUUAUUUUAUUUUAUUUAUCAUAUAUUUUUUAUUUUAUCUUUAUCGUUAAUUACCUUAAUCCUAGACCGUUGUCGUAUUACGUGCUUUCCUGCUCGAGAAUGCGCUGGGCGUCUAGCUGUAGAAGGUAGUAUGGAGAUUCAUCGAUAGUCAAGCAGUCUAUCAGUUUUUGACUGCUGGAAUAUAAACGACUGCAAGAAUGUACCGUAAAUCUAUACGGAUGCUCUUUGACUGCUUGUCGAAGUCUUUUUUUUUUUUUUUUUUGCCCCAGCUGAUAGGUCUCUAGAUGUUACAGAGAACCCCGAAUAACCCAAACUGUUAAUCUUCAAUACCCCUUUGUACUUACGAUCUUGUAUCCACUGACUGUCCUGUUAGAUUAAUCCAAUAAAUUUCAUUCACUCCGCAUACUCAAUCCUAUAGACACCCCUUUAAUCCUUCAAUCACAGACAUAACUCGAUUUUACAAAACAGUCAAGAGUAUUCAAACCCACUUCAUUUAAAAAUCCCGAUUCACCAUUACAACACUGACUUCAGCAGCGAUUGCCUCAGUCUUCUCAAAACUCUACGAAGAAGAAAAAUCCAAAUUCUAUGUCUUUCCUUCCCCGACCCGAAGCAUGAAGCUCCUCUCUCUAAUUCCCUUGAUCUUCCAAAAACCUCCAAUGAAAACCGAACUAGUAACCUUGCAAAAGCUUGAAAACUCGCUCCCCCCGAUUCCCCCCGAAAAAAAACCUUCCCCCCUCAAAACUAUAUCCCCCCUAACCUUAUCCUCUGAAUUUCUUCAAUCUUCCGUCUUAGAUCCGGAAUUGGCUCCCACCUCAAGCUUGGAUCCGAAAUUGGCUCUCGCCAUCAAGCUUUCUUCUCCGUUUUUACCUUUAAGAAAUCCAUUUAUCGAAAACAACGUUCCCUGAAACGGCACAGAGAACAGGACAGUCUGAAACAGAAUCAAACCCCGUAAUCGGGACCACAUUGAGUCGCCCAACCAAUUCAGGUCCUAUAUUGGAAAAGAUGCCCGUAGUAACCUGGAUGUUCCCGUAAUUGGGUCAAAUUGGUCCUCGCGUCAGAUUGGCUAAGACCCGUAGUAAGACCUGGAUUUCUCAUAAUUAGACUGCAUUGGGUUGACCGGCCAAUUCAGGUCUCAUAUUGGAUAAGAGGACCCGGAUUGGAUUAUCAAAAUUGGAUCUAAUUGGCUCCUCGAACCCAUCGUGUGAAUUGGUCCUUCUCUUCCUGUUGACUCCCGUUAUUGGAAUCGAAUGGAACAUUUCAGUAUGCCUCGGCUGACUGUAACGGAGUGACUGAACCUGACCACUCAGUAUUUGUACUGGAGUUGGUUGAUGCUCCCAAUAUUCGAGGUAACUGAAUAUUAAUAAAAUUCCCCUUUCUUUUUAUUUUCACUGUAUUCUCAUGUUACAACACGACAUCCACCCCCUCUGAACCUGUGCAUCCUCCGGUAUGCACCAAUUCACCCAAUUGCUGUUUGAUUCAGAAUAUAUCUCCUACGUCUUUGUCUAGUUCGUCUUCGUCACCUUCAUUAUCCAUAUCACUUUCAUCUUCUUGCUGCGGAAUCUCUGUACCUUCAUUAAGGUCUUCCAUAUUCAUCUCUGCGUGUCUUCGUUUAAAUAUUUUUACUCGCUUCCCUGCAAUUGGUAUUUUCAAUUUUAUACCAUCUAACUCCUGUAAUGAGUAAGUCGCAUUAUCAUGAACAGUUGUUAUAACAUAUGGUCCAAACCAACGUUUUGAAAAUUUCCGCAAAGUACUAUGUUGAUUAUCUAGACUAUUGUCAUAAACAAGUACCCAGUCACCUUCCUCGAUUGCUUUUGGUCUCAAUCGAUGUUGCUUAUCGAAUCGCGCCUUGUUUUGUAACCUUGCUCUUUUUAACCUUUCCAAUGCUAUCUAGACAUCUUCCGUUCUUUGCUCCAAUUGUCGAAUCCUAAUAGCCAGAAGUUCUUCUCUUGUCAAUCCAUCUUCCCAUGGUAGCAUACUCCAAGUAAGUACCUUUUCUUCAAUCGGCAUAAUUGGUUUUUGACCUGUCAUAAGUUCUACUGGCAUAUAUCCUGUCACCGAACUAUGUGUUGUUGGAUCAACCCAGGAACAUCAUCCAGAAAAGGCAUAGUCUUUUCCGGAAUAAAAUCUCUCAAUACCUUAUUCAUCCCAUUCAUCAUAUGCGCAACUGAGUUGGUCGCGCCUUGAGGAAGAGUGCACAUUCUAACCAAUCCAAGCGGUGUCCUCAUCGUUGUCAUAUCUCUACUUCCUUCGGCAAGUUGAAAUUGAUUAUAACCUGAAUACAAAUCACCCAUUGAAUAGAUCGUCCUUCCAGCAAACGUCUCAGUAAAUUCAUCGACAAUAGGUCCAAUUCCUGCAUUCCUGACAGUUACAGCAUUCACCGGCUGCAUAUCUUGAAUAAACCGUAGUGAUCCAUUCUUCUUAGGUACCGUUGUCGUGUUCUAACACGAGAAUACAGUGAAAAUAAAAAGAAAAGGGAAUUUUAAUAAUAUUCAGUUACCUCGAAUAUUGGGAGCAUCAACCAACUCCAGUACAAAUAUUGAGUGGUCAGGUUCAGUCACUCCGUUAUAGUCAGCCGAGGCAUACUGAAAUGCUCCAUUCGAUUCCAAUAACGGGAGUCAGCAAGAAGAGAAGGACCAAUUCACACGACGGGUUCGAGGAGCCAAUUGGAUCCAAUUUCGAUAAUCCAAUCCGGGUCUUCUUAUCCAAUAUGAGACCUGAAUUGGCUGGUCAACCCAAUGCAGUCUAAUUACGGGAAAUCCAGGUCUUACUACGGGUCUUAGCCAAUCUGACGCGAGGACCAAUUUGACCUAAUUACGGGAACAUCCAGGUUACUACGGGCAUCUUUUCCAAUAUAGGACCUGAAUUGGUCGGGCGACUCAAUGUGGUCCCGAUUACGGGAUUCGAUUCUGUUUCAGACUGUCCUGUUCUCUGUGCCGUUUCAGGGAACGUUGUUUUCAGUAAAUGGAUUUCUUAAAGGUAAAAACGGAGGAGAAAGCUUGACGGCGAGAGCCAAUUUCGGAUCCAAGCUUGAGGUGGAAGCCAAUUCCGGAUCUAAGACGGAAGAUUGAAGAAAUUCAGAGGAUAAUGUUAGGGGGGAUAUAGUUUUGAGGGGGGGGUUUUUUUUUUCAGGGGAAUCGGGGGGGGAGCGAGUUUUCAAGCUUUUGCAAGGUUACCAGUUCGGUUUUCAUUGGAGGUUUUUGGAAGAUCAAGGGAAUUAGAGAGAGGAGCUUCAUGCUUCGGGUCGGGGAAGGAAAGACAUAGAAUUUGGAUUUUUCUUCUUCGUAGAGUUUUGAGAAGACUGAGGCAAUCGCUGCUGAAGUCAGUGUUGUAAUGGUGAAUCGGGAUUUUUAAAUGAAGUGGGUUUGAAUACUCUUGACUGUUUUGUAAAAUCGAGUUACGUCUGUGAUUGAAGGAUUAAAGGGGUGUCUAUAGGAUUGAGUAUGCGGAGUGAAUGAAAUUUAUUGGGUUAAUCUAACAGGACAGUCAGUGGAUACAAGAUCGUAAGUACAAAGGGGUAUUGAAGAUUAACAGUUUGGGUUAUUCGGGGUUCUCUGUAACGUCUAGAGACCUAUCGGUUGGGGUAAAAAAAAAAAAAAGGACUUCGACAAGCAGUCGAAGAGCAUCCGUAUAGAUUUACGGUACAUUGUUGCAGUCGUUUAUAUUCCAGCAGACAAAAACUGAUAGACUGCUUGACUAUCGGCGAAUCUCCAUACUACCUUCUAUAGCCAGACGCCCGGCGCGUUCUCGAGCAGGAAAGCACGUAAUACGACAUAAGUGGUGAACUCGAUGUAAAAGCUUGAGGUAGAAGGUAUUGGAUUUCGGUUGAUUUUAUCUUUAUUUUUAUAGAAAACGAAAAUAAAAAUUUUGAAGGAUUUUUGGAAGAAGUUUUUGGUGGGGAGUCUUCUAAAGGACAAGGUAUGCACAUGGAUCCGUCUAUUGCUAGUUUGUUUCAAGCCUUCUCAUUGUCAAUGCAGCAACAGCAAAGCAAUGAUCGAAAGGAAGCUUUGGCAACCAAAGCAUUGCAAGGAGUGGUGUCAUGGACAUACAUUAGAAGAUUCUUCGAAUAUUCUUCUAGAAUAUUCUCUAAAGAUUCUCUAAAGAUUCCUUUAGAAGGUUCUAGAAGAUUCUUAGAAUAUUCUCUAAAGAUUCUCUUAGAAGGUUCUAGAAUAUUCUUAGAAGGUUCUAAAAUAUUUUGAUAGAUUCUAGGAAGUUGCUCGAGAAGUUUCCUAAUUAGUAGAAGUUGUUGGAGAAGCGUCCUAGUUAGCAGAAGUAGCUCGAGAAGCUUCCUAUUCAGUAGUAUAUAUAGGAGUCGAGGCUGAAGGGUUCUUCAGUCUCGACAACACAUCUCUUGGAGUUCUAGCUCACCUUUCUGGUGUUGUUCUUGUACUCAUCUGUUUAAUCUAGUUUUGCCACUUCUUCUUGAACUUCUUGUUAGAUUUCAAGUCUGUAUUUUGUGUCUGUGACAGUUUGUCGAGACUGCAUUUUCACUGGUAUCAGAGCUAGUUCCUCCUUGUUAGAGAGUGGAUUACCCCUCUUCUUGAAGGUGCGCUAGUGUUUUAGAGGUUGUGGAUUACCCUCCUCUAAACUGAUAUCUCUUCUUUCUCAAUAUUGGAGCCUUAUUCUUCUUGGAGAGAGUGGAUUACCCCUCAUCUUGGAGUCUUAAGGCGUUUUAGAGGUUGCGGAGUACUCUCCUCUGAACCAAUAUUGUCCUCUUGUCAAAACUCUUUUUUCUUCUUUCUGAAGGUUAGCGGAAGGUUAAGACGUUAAAAUGGCUGAAAGUUUGGAAUCCAAACUAGACGCCAUCAUAAAUACUCUUGCCUCGUUGUCACAUAGGACAACAGAGAUCGAAGGAGUCAUGGUAGGACUCCAUAACAAUGGAGCAUCUGGGAUAGCGCCAUCUAAAGCAUAUCAGCCUCAAACUUCUGUCCCAGAAGAAGCAGUUCUACCUCCAUUUCAACAAGAUCGAGUAGUCCUACAACGAAAGGAGCCUCGAGUUAGUCUUCCGGAUAAGUUUGAUGGAACUCGUUCCAAGUUUCGAGGUUUUGUCAACCAAAUCAGGUUGAUAACAAUUUUACAGCCCGAACGUUAUCCGACGGAGGAAGCGCAUGUUGGGCUUGUUGGAACCUUGCUUACAGCACAAGCUCUAUCUUGGUUUACUUCCUUGUUCGAGAAGCGAUCGCCAAUCCUGAGCAACUUUGAAACGUUCUUCGAGGCGUUUGCAGAAGCAUUUGGCGAGCAUGAUAAAGUUCAAUGUGCUACAACAAAGAUCCGAUCGCUACGACAAGGAAUACGCUCUGCAUCAGUCUAUGCCUCGGAUUUCAGACAAUUGGCAAGUGACAUUAAUUGGGGUGAAGAGGCGUUGGUGAGUCAAUUUUAUUGGGGCUUGAAGGAUGAUGUGAAGGACUUGCUGUUAUCUCUUCCUGAUCCUCAAACGCUCAACGAAGCUAUUAGCCAAGCUGUAAAGUGUGACAACCGCCUAUUCCAGCGUCGCCAAGACCAACGUCCAAGACACCAAAUGCCUCGUUACGACGUGACUAUGUCUGCAAAUAGCUUAAACUCACAUUCGGAGGCAACAGACAUGCAAAUCGACAUGGCGCGUGUCCAAUCUCUUACUCCAACAGAAAAGAAACGACGUAUGGAGGAAGGGUUAUGUUUGUACUGUGGAGAAGAAGGUCAUAAGGUUGGAAAUUGCCCAAAGAAGCAAAAUUGGCACCCUGUCAAGACUAGAAGUGCGAUGAUUCCGGAAAACGACGAUGCCCAGCCACAGUAGGAACCGUACAACUGGACAAUCUAAUAUCACGACAACAAUCAGGUUCCUCCUUCUCUGUCCAACCUGCCCGUUGUUUCACAAUUCCUUUGUUUUUAGGCCCUCAAAAACAAAAAACUUUAGCUUUAUUGGAUUCGGGGGCAUCUACUUGUUUUUUAGAUGAAGAGUUUGCUAAACGCCACAAGAUCCGUUUAGUACAUAAGUUCAAACCUGUUCACGUAGAGGUGAUAGAUGGACGACCCUUAUUGUCAGGCAACGUUACCCACGAAUCAAAACCUAUAGAAGUGGUGUUUAAGAACCAUAGUAGUCACGUUAUUUUUAAUAUUAUUAGAACCCCAUCAAGCCCUGUUAUCUUUGGUCUUUCUUGGUUAGAAGAUCAUAAUCCGUCCAUUGAUUGGAGGCUACGAAAGAUAACAUUUCCUGAAAAAAAUAAUAAUAAACCUGUUGGUAGAACCUACAUGAAGAAAUCCAUGUUUAUUGGAGCGAGAGCGUUCCUAAGAUCGUCCAAGGAAGGCGCACCAUUUGUCAUUUAUGCAGCUCCAACUAGCGGCGAGAAUAUCUCAACAUCGAAUAUACUAGAGCAAUAUAGGGAUUUUGAAGACGUGUUUCAGAAGAAGAACGCCGAUAUACUGCCGGAACAUUGACCAUAUGAUUGCGCCAUAGACUUAGAGGAAGGAGCGCAACCACCUUUUGGUCCAAUAUACAACCUAUCGCAGACGGAGUUGGCAGAAUUGCGGAAGUACAUCGAUGAGAAUCUAGCCAAGAAUUUUAUUCGACAUUCAAAGUCGCCAGCUAGAGCACCAAUCCUAUUCGUGAAGAAAAAGGAUGGCUCACUGCGGAUGUGCGUGGACUACCGAGGACUCAACAAGGUGACCAAGAAAAAUCGCUAUCCCUUACCUUUGAUCUGCGGCCUCUUAGAUCAACUUGGACGUGCAAGGAUUUUUACAAAGAUUGAUUUAAGAGGAGCCUACAACCUUGUGCGAAUCAAAGAAGGAGAUGAAUGGAAGACAGCCUUACGUACAAGGUAUGGCCAUUUUGAGUACAAUGUCAUGCCUUUUGGUCUUACCAAUGCUCCAGCGGACUUUCAGCAUAUGUUGAACGACAUCUUUCGGGAGUACCUCGAUGACUUUGUUGUCAUCUAUCUGGAUGAUAUUUUGAUAUUUUCCAAGAAUGAAGAAGAACAUGAGAAGCACGUUUGUUUGGUUCUUGAAAAACUACGCGAUCGAGGACUCUACGCCAAGUUGGAAAAGUGUCAAUUUCACCAGAAUGAGAUGGAAUUUUUGGGCUUCAUUGCGACUACAGAGGGCUUGAAGAUGGAUCCAAAAAAGGUAGAAGCAAUUAUAACUUGGGAAGUUCCGAAGACGAUUAGAGAUGUUCAGUGUUUUCUUGGAUUUGCUAACUUCUAUCGGAUCUUCAUCAAGAAUUAUUCUCAAGUUGCUGCACCACUCACGCGUCUAACAAGCAAAGACAAGCUCGAAUGGGGAUCACAAGCAGCAAAAGCAUUUCAAGAUCUCAAGACGGCAUUCACUACGGCUCCAAUCUUGGUACACCCUGACUUUGCAAAGGCUUUCUAUUUAGAGACCGAUGCUUCAGAUUUUGCUUUGGGAGCUGUGCUUUCACAGAUGGGCAUAGACAAGAAGCUUCACCCAGUUGCGUUCUAUUCACGAAAGUUCUCUGCUGCUGAGAUCAACUACGAGAUCCACGACAAAGAGCUGCUUGCUAUAGUGGAUGCCUUCCAAGAGUGGCGUCACUUCCUCGAAGGAGCUGCACAUCCAGUGACUGUUUAUACGGACCACAAGAAUUUGGAGUACUUCAUGACAGCUCGAAUUUUGAAUCGUCGUCAAGCUCGAUGGAAUAUGUCUCUAUCACGAUUUGACUUUAUUAUCACCUACCGCCCUGGAAAACAGCAAGGAUUAUCUGACGCAUUAUCGAGGAGAUCGUAUCUUGCGCCAAAGGUUGGAGAAGCAGCGUUUGAUCAACAAUGUACAACAUUGUUGAAACCAGAAAAAUUCAGGAUUUUUGCUACUGUUGCAACUAUCGAUGACGGCUUCCUCAGCGAGGUACGUACUGCGACCAUUGAGGAUUCUACAGCUCUUGACAUCAAACAACGUGUCGAUAAUGACAAGUUUAAGGUGGAGGGAGAUCUUCUGUAUUUUGAGGAGCGGUUGUAUAUCCCGAAAGGACCAACUCGACUCCGAGUACUUCAAUCUCGCCACGACUUUCCAACUGCGGGACAUUUUGGAUUCAACAAGACUUUGGAGCUCAUUUCACGAGAUUUUUGGUGGCCCCAAAUGUGGAAGGAUGUGAAGGAAUUUGUCCUUUCUUGUGAUGUUUGUUCAAGAUCCAAGAUCCCUCGACAUCGUCCGUAUGGACUUCUCCAGCCAUUGCCUAUUCCGCACCGACCAUGGUCUUCAGUUUCUAUGGACUUCAUUACGGACCUACCGCCAUCGAAUUCAUUUGACAGCAUCUUUGUUGUGGUGGAUCGAUUUACAAAGAUGGCGCAUUUUGUGCCUUGCAAGAAAACAUCGUCAAGUGAAGACACCGCAAGACUCUUUCUUGAUAACAUAUAUCGUUAUCAUGGCCUACCAGAUGAUAUCGUGUCGGAUCGAGGUACUCAGUUUGUAUCCAAGUUUUGGAGGUCCCUCUUUGAGAUAUUGAAGGUGGAUAUUAAGCUCUCUUCGGCUUUUCAUCCUCAAACUGACGGUCAAACGGAGCGGGUGAAUCAAGUUUUGGAGCAAUAUUUACGAUGCAGCAUCAACUAUCAACAAGAUGAUUGGACUGCAUAUCUACCGCUUGCUGAAUUCGCAUACAACAACACUCUUCAUGCGUCAACUCAACAAACACCAUUCUUCUCCAACUACGGAUACCACCCCAAGCUCGAUUUAUUGAGUUCUUCAGCAAAUAAUAACCCAUCAGCUGAAGGAUUUGUGAAGCAACUAUCGGAGCUUCAAGCGACGUUGAAGCUUCAAUUGCAAUCUGCCCAAGAGAGUUACAAGGCAUCUGCAGAUAAAUAUCGAAAUGAGGCGCCUACUUUUAAAGUUGGAAGUAAAGUAUGGCUUCUUCGAUGGAAUAUCAAGACCAAGCGGCCAUGUGACAAAUUGGACUAUCGGAGAUUAGGGCCAUUUGUUAUCGGGAAGCAGAUCAAUCCGGUGGCAUAUCGUCUGGAGUUACUAGCUACUAUGAAGGUACAUCCAGUCUUUCAUGUGUCUUUGUUGGAACCUUAUCGAGAGUCAGCUUUUCCCCAAAGAGUACAAAGUCCGCCACCAAGUAUCGAAAUUGAAAACCAUGAGGAAUACGAGGUGGAAAAGGUACUAGAUUCACGGCGUAAUAGGAGAAAAUUGGAGUAUUUAGUGCAUUGGAGUGAAUACGACAUCAAUGAACGAACGUGGGAGCGUGCCGAAAAUCUUGCCAAUGCACCAAAAAAGAUACAAGAAUUUCAUCAACGAUAUCCUCAUAAACCUAAGCCGAUUCAACGAUAGCUUCUUGCUGAAGCUUGCUCAUCAAGUAGCAUAAAAAGGGGGGAGGGCACCUCCAAAACCCAUAGUUCGAUAGUGUAGAACUUUGUUAGCAACUAUAGUUUGCUCUCAUCAUUUUAGCCUUUGGACAUGGAUAGUCAAGAUACUACACUUGUUAUGUCAUCUCAAGCGACUAGCUCACAAAGACGACCGCGAGAUGAAGAACCGCCUGCACCACGAUGACGUCGGAGGAUACCGAGCAACAGAUCGCUAGUAAUUGUAUUUGAGGUCGAGCCUGCCUACGACGGUCAGCCAGAAGGUGUGUUUGGAGGACAGUUUCACAAUGAAGACACAGAAGUCCACGCUUGGUCAGAGGUUGAAGGUGUUGGUCACUACCGUUGGCUCCAAGGGCCGAUGAAUCAUUUGCCUCGCGAACAACAAUUGGAAUUCAUAGCGGAUGUGAUGCGACAGAUUUACAUUUUCUUGCGUUGGUAUUGACUGAUAACAACAUUGCUUCUCGGAGACCUCGAAGUUAGAAGAGGAGGUGAUGUCAUGGACAUACAUUAGAAGAUUCUUCGAAUAUUCUUCUAGAAUAUUCUCUAAAGAUUCUCUAAAGAUUCUCUAAAGAUUCUUUUAGAAGGUUCUAGAAGAUUCUUAGAAUAUUCCCUAAAGAUUCUCUUAGAAGGUUCUAGAAUAUUCUUAGAAGGUUCUAAAAUAUUCUGAUAGAUUCUAGGAAGUUGCUCGAGAAGUUUCCUAAUUAGUAGAAGUUGUUGGAGAAGCGUCCUAGUUAGCAGAAGUAGCUCGAGAAGCUUCCUAUUCAGUAGUAUAUAUAAGAGUCGAGGCUGAAGGGUUCUUCAGUCUCGACAACACAUCUCUUGGAGUUCUAGCUCACCUUUCUGGUGUUGUUCUUGUACUCAUCUGUUUAAUCUAAUUUUGCCACUUCUUCUUGAACUUCUUGUUAGAUUUCAAGUCUGUAUUUUGUGUCCGUGACAAGUGGUCAAUAAAAUUGAUCAAUUUGAUGGGAGGAAUAUUUCAAGGUAUUUGAGAUGUUAUGUUCGUGAAAUGGAAUUAAAUCGGGUUUCUGAGAAGAAAAUGGUUGCACUAUUUGGACUUGCCACGAUACCGGAGAUAAGGGACCACAUUACAUCGAUUACGGAUCGUUGUGGGAAUUCAUGGGAGGAUUUUUCACAUGCAUUGAAAGACGAAUAUUUCCGGGAAGAUGCUGAUCGCGUUACUAAGAAGCUGUUUCUGGGAUGGAUUGAACGGCCCAAUAAGAAUUUGCAAGCAACAGAGCUACUAAGGGAAUUUGAGAGGCAGUACUCUCAAUUAUCGAAGGUAGAAAAUUGACAUUGGAGUCGAACAAAGUUGAUCUAUUUCUUCAAGCUGCUGAUGGAGAAUUGCAAGAGAAAUUAGAACCUCUUCUUGAAGACAAAGAAGAAGAUGAAAGAUUGACAACGAAGUGGAAGAACGUUGAAGAUGCGGUGGGGUUGCUUACAAAAAAAGAAAGGAGGAAGGAUAGGAGCAAUAUUUCAAAACCAGUACAAGCACCCAAAGCUCCAAUACGUACAACACCACCGACAAUGCCUGCAGUUCAACCUUCGACAUCCUUGUCAAAGAAAGCAGAUAUGGGUAUGGAAGAAAUUAUAUGAGGAAUGCGAGAUCUUCAAAUCAAAUUGGCAAGACUUGAAGAGAAUACUUCUAUAAAUAAUUCAAAGAAUGUUUCAAAACAAGGAUAUGUACAAAGAUGCAUUUGGUGUGAUGAUGCUUCACACACUAGAAAAGAUUGCAAUGAAUUUAAUAAUAUGAUACGGAAGGGAAUUAUUUGCUGGAAAGAUGGGAAGAUAGCAUUGAAAGAUAGGGAGGAUCUUCUUCAAACCAAUUUUGGCAAACGAGGAAUGAGAGCAUUGGUUCAAGAUUACUUAAAAGAGCAUGAAACAGUAGUACGAGAAAGUGCAAGUUAUGGUGCUAGAAUAGAUGAUGAAAUUGGUGGAAGUACGAAAACUAGUGAGUUUUGGGCUUCUACCGUUUCUACAAUGUAAGAAGGGAAAUUACCUCGAGAAGCGUUAUUGAGAACUGCAGCUACAAUACGAGGAAGAACAGGUUGUUGAGUCUCUUUCAGUUCAUGCAUAUAUUGCUAAGAGCCAACAUGAAGCUUUGAUGGAAGAAAAAAGACGAGGAAAUUUUGAUGAUACUAGAGAAGGAAAUUCUUUUAAGAGGCAAACUCGAGGAGACAAGGCUCAGGAGGCAGCUUCACAAGAAUUGCCUAUAAAGGAUACCUCAGCAUCAUUGGGAGAAAAAACAACGGAGACAAAAGAUAAGGGCAAAUCAAUUGCUUAUAAGCUACUUUCUGAUAUUGAAGUGGCAACAAAUUUGAAAGGGGUGUUGGAAGAACGUAUAUUAAACGUUAAGGUGGAAUUCACAUUGAAAGAAGUCUUGGGAAUUGCAAAGAAGGACUUUCAUGAUGUUAUCAUUGACAGCAUUAAGCAAAAGAGGCAAUUAAUGAGCGAAACUGGAAUGAGUCAUGCUAUUGAUGCAAGAAUAUGUAGAGAUGAAGAAGAGGUUGAUAUUGGUUAUAAGCAACCAACAAAUGAAAAGAAUGGGUAUAAUCAGCGAGUACGUUUCGAAGAUUCUAGUGACAAGGAAAUAGAAACUUUGAGCCAUUAUACUCGAAAGCAUUGGGCAAGGGCAACUACUGAGGUAUUGGUGAAGGUAGGAGAUAUAGAAGAACCAAUAGUUGCCUUGGUGGACCAUGGUUCUGAAAUAAAUCUCAUGUCUAAAGAUCUUUAUAAGAAGCAAAAAUGGCCAAUUGAUAUGGAACAUGGAUGGGCAAUACGAGUAGCUAAUAACACACGGGGCGAAUUAUAUAGAGCUUGUACAGAUGUCAAAAUUCGGAUUGGGGAUGUUGCGACGGAGCAACAUUUCUUCGUUCAAGAUACAACGUCUUAUCCGUUGAUUUUAGGACGACCUUAUAUCACGGCAACACGGAUAGAAACAAAGGUACUUGAUGAUGGUUCUGCUUAUGCAAGGGUACGGAGCAAAGAUGGGAGGAAAGCUGUACAAUUUCUAACAGUACCUCCUAACCAUGAACGGAAUCGAGAUAGGUUGAGGGAGAAACCAUUGCCAAAGAUUGUUGAAGGAUUUAAGGAUUUUGGGGAAGUACCACUGUAAAGCGAGAUUAUGGAGGUACAAAAGAGGAAGUACUCUCGCGAGAUGAAGGUACCUUUGAUGCGAGUUUUAUUGGUAUAUUGGAGAAUGGAAACAUUAUGUAUAAGAAAGUUGAUGAUUUUAAAAGAAAAGAAAGAAAAAGAUUAUACGAUAUUGAAAGACAAUUACGCAAGAUAGGUACAUUGCAAGAUGAUGAGAGGAUUUUGGGUGUUUAUGAAGAAAAUGGACUGGAAGAUUCAUUGGAAUUGAUUACAUCUAUUGGGUUAGGGGAUAAUGAUAAGAUUGUUGAGAUUCAUUCGAGAGAGGUUUAUACCAUGCUUGAAUCUUUUCAAGCACCAGAAGUCACAGUAGAGACGAGAUAUAAAACGGCAGAUAAGAAGGUAAAGCCUGUUGCUGGACCAUUACCAGAGGAUUCUAAAGAACAAAUGGGAGAAGCAUCAAAGGAAGCAAGUUUAAGAGAUCCAAUGAGUAUUGGACAUCAGUUUACUGAAGAGACUUUUGAAGAAUUGAAGAUUGGUUCUGAUGGUUCUUUAUUGUCGGAGGAAAUUACUUGCUUCAAAAAGAUGUUGGCUAAACAAGGUAGAUCGUUUGCCUUCGAAUCUCAUGAAAUUGGGUGUGUGGAUCCAAAUAUUAUAACACCUAUGGUUAUCUUCACUGUACCGCAUGUACCUUGGAAUCUAAGACCGAUUCCAGUACCGAGGGUACAUUUACCUAAAUUGGUGGAACUAUUGAAAGAAAAGAUAAAGAUGAAAAUAUUAGAACCUUCAUUUGCGCCGUAUUCUAGUCGAUGGUUUACGGUACCUAAGAAGAAUGGGUCACUACGGUUUAUUCAAGAUAUGCAGCCGGUGAAUGCUGUAAUUGUCAGGAAUGCAGGAAUUGGACCUAUUGUGGAUGAAUUUGCUGAGACGUUUGCUGGAAGGGCGAUCUAUUCAAUGGGUGAUUUGUAUUCAGGUUAUAAUCAAUUUCAACUUGCCGAAGGAAGUAGAGAUAUGACAGCGAUGAGGACACCGCUUGGAUUGGUUAGAAUGUGCACUCUUCCUCAAGGCGCGACCAACUCAGUUGCGCAUAUGAUGAAUGGGAUGAAUAAGGCAUUGAGAGAUUUUAUUCCGGAAAAGACUAUGCCUUUUUUGGAUGAUGUUACUAUAAAAGGGUGCAGAGAAGGAGACAAGGAUGAAACUUUAGAUACGAGGGGGUGUCGCAGAUAUGUUGUUGAUCAUAUACAAGAUUGUGAAAAGAUUUUAACUCGGCUUGGAGAAGUUCAUUUUACAUUAUCGGGUAUGAAGUCCGUAUUUGGAGUGCGAGAGGUUGUAAUUGUUGGACAUUUAUGCGGAUCUUACGGAAGAAAACCAGAUCCGACUAAAGUUGAUGCAAUUGGAAGGAUGAAAGAGGAUUGUGGUUCUUUAACAGAGGUUCGUAGGUUUUUGGGUGCAUGUGUAUUUUAUCGAAUCUGGAUCCCUCAUUUUGCUCACAUAGCGGAUCCAUUAUAUGAACUGUUACGCAAGGGUUACCGAUUUGAAUGGAAAGAAAGGCAUAUUCAGGCAAUGCAAAGAUUGAAGAAAUUAUUGAUGUCACCUCCAAUAUUGAGGAAGGUUGAUUAUAAGUACAAUAGACCAGUGAUUCUUACUGUAGACGCUAGUCCAAUUGCCGUUAGAUGGGCUAUGGGUCAAGAUGAUUCGAAUGGGAGUAGAUUUGCAGUUCGAUUUGGGGCUAAAGUUUUAAGUAUUCGUCAGCAUGCAUAUUUGCAAGUCAAAAGAGAACUUUGGGAAGUCGUUUCGGCUAUGAAAGCUGAAAAGGACUAUUUGAUUGGGGCAGUAGUAGUAAUUGAAACAGAUUGCUUGCCAUUGCUUGGAAUGAUUAUUAACUGUUCAACGCCAGAUAUUGCAAUGUUGAGAUGGAUUGCUUAUAUUAAGUCACUAAAUCCAGAAUUGAAGCAUAUCAUUGGAAAGGACAAUUUAGUAGCAGACAUGCUAUCUCGAGUAAGAUACGAGAGGGAGGACGAAAUGGUGGAAGACAUUGAUGAUGUCGGAUUGAAAUUCUAUUCAAUAUCAAAUCUCAAUAGAGAAGACAAGCUAUUUCUUGAAGAAUCUUAUGAAGGAAAAUUAUUGGAUAUUGGUCAUUAUUUGAAUACCUUGUCUAAGCAGGGGAAUUGGUCUACAGAAAAAUUCAAACAAAUAAGAAAAAAAGCAUAUGGAUUUUUACUUCGAGAUGGAUUCUUAUGGAAGAGACCGAAGAAAGGAAUUGGGAUGCCACAACGAGUAAUAGGCAAAAGGGAAGAAAAACUAAAAUUAUUAAAGGAGUUUCAUGAUAGUUUAUGGGCAGGGCAUAGAGGAAUCUGGGCUACUUUUGCUAAACUCAAGGAACGAUAUUGGUGGAAAAAUAUGUAUCGAGAUGUGCUCUCAUUUCUAGAGUCAUGUGAAAUCUGUCAAUCGUAUUCUAAUAUCCGACAUCGAGAUGGUCUUCAUCCUACGUAUCCUCUGGCUAUUCAUUUUAAAUGGGUUGUUGAUUUGGUUAUUAUGCCGGUUGGGUUAUGGCAGAUGAGAUAUUUGGUUUUAGCUCGUGAAGAUUUAUCAAAUCUAGUAGAAGGAAGAGCAUUGAGGACAAAAUCUACAGAGGGGAUUUGUAGGUUUUUGCUUGAAGAUGUCAUUUGCCAUUAUGGGUGCGUAGGAAAAAUCACUGCAGAUCGUGGAGAAUUAAAUGCACAAGAAGCUCGUAAGUUCUUUGAAAAAUGUGGAGUUAAACUAUCACUGACUACUGCUUAUAAUCUGGAAGGGAAUGCAAAAAGUGAACGUGGUCACCCGCCGAUUGUGAAAGCAUUGAUUAAAGCUUGUAAUGGGAAGGUUAAAGAGUGGCCACGGCUUUUGUCAUUUGCAUUAUGGGUUGAUCCAACAACACAUAGUUCGGUGACAGGAUAUAUGCCAGUAGAACUUAUGACAGGUCAAAAACCAAUUAUGCCGAUUGAAGAAAAGGUACUUACUUGGAGUAUGCUACCAUGGGAAGAUGGAUUGACAAGAGAAGAACUUCUGGCUAUUAGGAUUCGACAAUUGGAGCAAAGAACGGAAGAUGUCCAGAUAGCAUUGGAAAGGUUAAAAAGAGCAAGGUUACAAAACAAGGCGCGAUUCGAUAAGCAACAUCGAUUGAGACCAAAAGCAAUCGAGGAAGGUGACUGGGUACUUGUUUAUGACAAUAGUCUAGAUAAUCAACAUAGUACUUUGCGGAAAUUUUCAAAACGUUGGUUUGGACCAUAUGUUAUAACAACUGUUCAUGAUAAUGCGACUUACUCAUUACAGGAGUUAGAUGGUAUAAAAUUGAAAAUACCAAUUGCAGGGAAGCGAGUAAAAAUAUUUAAACGAAGACACGCAGAGAUGAAUAUGGAAGACCUUAAUGAAGGUACAGAGAUUCCGCAGCAAGAAGAUGAAAGUGAUAUGGAUAAUGAAGGUGACAAAGACGAACUAGACAAAGACGUAGGGGAUAUAUUCUGAAUCAAACAGCAAUUGGGUGAAUUGGUGCAUACCGGAGGAUGCACAGGUUCAAAGGGGGUGGAUGUCGUGUUGUAACAUGAGAAUACAGUGAAAAUAAAAAGAAAGGGGAAUUUUAUUAAUAUUCAGUUACCUCGAAUAUUGGGAGCAUCAACCAACUCCAGUACAAAUACUGAGUGGUCAGGUUCAGUCACUCCGUUACAGUCAGCCGAGGCAUACUGAAAUGCUCCGUUCGAUUCCAAUAACGGGAGUCAACAGGAAGAGAAGGACCAAUUCACACGAUGGGUUCGAGGAGCCAAUUGGAUCCAAUUUUGAUAAUCCAAUCCGGGUCCUCUUAUCCAAUAUGAGACCUGAAUUGGCCGGUCAACCCAAUGCAGUCUAAUUACGGGAAAUCCAGGUCUUACUACGGAUCUUAGCCAAUCUCACGUGAGGACCAAUUUGACCCAAUUACGGGAAUAUCCAGGUUACUACGGGCAUCUUUUCCAAUAUAGGACCUGAAUUGGUUGGGCGACUCAAUGUGGUCCCGAUUACGGGGUUUGAUUCUGUUUCAGACUGUCCUGUUCUCUGUGCCGUUUCAGGGAACGUUGUUUUCGGUAAAUGGAUUUCUUAAAUGUAAAAACGGAGGAGAAAGCUUGAUGGCGAGAGCCAAUUUCGGAUCCAAGCUUGAGGUGGGAGCCAAUUCCGGAUCUAAGACGGAAGAUUGAAGAAAUUCAGAGGAUAAGGUUAGGGGGGAUAUAGUUUUGAGGAGGGAGGUUUCUUUUUUUCGAGGAAUCGGGGGGGGGGGGGAGCUAGUUUUCAAGCUUUGCAAGGUUACCAGUUCGGUUUUCAUUGGAGGUUUUUGAAGAUCAAGGGUUUAGAGAGAAGAGCUUCAUGCUUCGGGUCGGGGAAGGAAAGACAUAGAAUUUGGAUUUUUCUUCUUCGUAGAGUUUUGAGAAGACUGAGGCAAUCGCUGCUGAAGUCAGUGUUGUAAUGGUGAAUCGGGAUUUUUAAAUGAAGUGGGUUUGAAUACUCUUGACUGUUUUGUAAAAUCGAGUUACGUCUGUGAUUGAAGGAUUAAAGGGGUGUCUAUAGGAUUGAGUAUGCGGAGUGAAUGAAAUUUAUUGGGUUAAUCUAACAGGACAGUCAGUGGAUACAAGAUCGUAAGUACAAAGGGGUAUUGAAGAUUAACAGUUUGGGUUGUUCGGGGUCUCUGUAAUGUCUAGAGACCUAUCGGCUGGGGCAAAAAAAAAAAAAAUGACCUCGACAAGCAGUCGAAGAGCAUCCGUAUAGAUUUACGGUACAUUGUUGGAGUCGUUUAUAUUCCAGCUGUAAAAACUGAUAGACUGCUUGACUAUCGGUGGAUCUCCAUACUAUCUUCUACAGCCAGACGCCCGACGCGUUCUCGAGCAGGAAAGCACGUUAUACGACACCGUAAACCAUCGACUAGAAUACGGCACAAAUGAAGGUUCUAAUAUUUUCAUCUUUAUCUUUUCUUUCAAUAGUUCCACCAAUUUAGGUAAAUGUGCCCUCGGUACUGGAAUCGGUCUUAGAUUCCAAGGUACAUGCGGUACAGUGAAGAUAACCAUAGGUGUUAUAAUAUUUGGAUCCACACACCCAAUUUCAUGAGAUUCGAAGGCAAACAAUCUACCUUGUUUAGCUAACAUCUUUUUGAAGCAAGUAAUUUCCUCCGACAAUAAAGAACCAUCAGAAUCAAUCUUCAAUUCUUCAAAAGUUUCUUCAGUAAACUGAUGUCCAAUACUCAUUGGAUCUUUUAAACUUGCUUCCUUUGAUGCUUCUCCCAUUUGUUCUUUAGAAUCCUCUGGUAAUGGUCCGGCAACAGGCUUUUACCUUCUUAUCUGUCGUUUUAUAUCUCGUCUCUACUGUGACUUCUGGUGCUUGAAAAGAUUCAAGCAUGGUAUAAACCUCUCUCAAAUGAAUCUCAACAAUCUUAUCAUUAUCCCCUAACCCCAUAGAUGUAAUCAAUUCCAAUGAAUCUUCCCGUCCAUUUUUCUUCUAAACACCCAAAAUCCUCUCAUCAUCNNNNNNNNNNNNNNNNNNNNNNNNNNNNNNNNNNNNNNNNNNNNNNNNNNNNNNNNNNNNNNNNNNNNNNNNNNNNNNNNNNNNNNNNNNNNNNNNNNNNAUGUACCUAUCUUGCGUAACUGUCCUUCAAUAUCAUAUAAUCUUUUUCUUUCUUUUCUUUUAAAAUUAUCAACUUUCUUAUACAUAAUAUUUCCAUUCUCCAAUAUACCAAUAAAACUCGCAUCAAAGACACCUUCAUCUCGCGAGAGGAGCUCCUCUUUUGUACCUCCAUAAUCUCGUUUUACAGUGGUAUCUUACCAAAAUUCUUAAAUCCUUCAACAAUCUUUGGCAAUGGUUUCUCCCUCAACCUAUCUCGAUUCCGUUCAUGGUUAGGAGGUACUGUUAGAAAUUGUACAGCUUUCCUCCCAUCUUCCCUCCGUACCCUUGCAUAAGCAAAACCAUCGUCAAGUACCUUUGUUUCCAUCCGUGUUGCCGUGAUAUAAGGUUGUCCUAAAAUCAACGGAUAAGACGUUGUAUCUUGAACGAAGAAAUGUUGCUCCGUCGUAACAUCCCCAAUCCGAAUUUUGACAUCUGGACAAGCUCCAUAUAAUUCGCCUCGUGUGUUAUUAGCUGCUCGUAUUGCCCAUCCAUGUUCCAUAUCAAUUGGCCAUUUUUGCUUCUUAUAAAGAUCUUUAGACAUGAGAUUUAUUUCAGAACCAUGGUCCACCAAGGCAACUAUUGGUUCUUCUAUAUCUCCUACCUUCACCAAUACCUCAGUAGUUGUCCUUGUCCAAUGCUUUCGAGUAUAAUGGCUCAAAGUUUCUAUUUCCUUGUCACUAGAAUCUUCGAAACGUACUCGCUGAUUAUACCCAUUCUUUUCAUUUGUUGGUUGCUUAUAACCAAUAUCAACCUCUUCUUCAUCUCUACAUAUUCUUGCAUCAAUAGCAUGACUCAUUCCAGUUUCGCUCAUUAAUUGCCUCUUUUGCUUAAUGCUGUCAAUGAUAACAUCAUGAAAGUCCUUCUUUGCAAUUCCCAAGACUUCUUUCAAUGUGAAUUCCACCUUAACGUUUAAUAUACGUUCUUCCAACACCCCUUUCAAAUUUGUUGCCACUUCAAUAUCAGAAAGUAGCUUAUAAGCAAUUGAUUUGUCCUUAUCUUUUGUCUCCGUUGUUUUUUCUCCCAAUGAUGCUGAGGUAUCCUUUACAGGCAAUUCUUGUGAAGCUGCCUCCCGAGCCUUGUCUCCUCGAGUUUGCCUCUUAAAAGAAUUUCCUUCUCUAGUAUCAUCAAAAUUUCCUCGUCUUUUUUCUUCCAUCAAAGCUUCAUGUUGGCUCUUAGCAAUAUAUGCAUGAAUUGAAAGAGACUCAACAACCUGUUCUUCCUCGUAUUGUAGCUGCAGUUCUCAAUAACGCUUCUCGAGGUAAUUUCCCUUCUUACAUUGUAGAAACGGUAGAAGCCCAAAACUCACUAGUUUUCGUACUUCCACCAAUUUCAUCAUCUAUUCUAGCACCAUAACUUGCACUUUCUCGUACUACUGUUUCAUGCUCUUUUAAGUAAUCUUGAACCAAUGCUCUCAUUCCUCGUUUGCCAAAAUUGGUUUGAAGAAGAUCCUCCCUAUCUUUCAAUGCUAUCUUCCCAUCUUUCCAGCAAAUAAUUCCCUUCCGUAUCAUAUUAUUAAAUUCAUUGCAAUCUUUUCUAGUGUGUGAAGCAUCAUCACACCAAAUGCAUCUUUGUACAUAUCCUUGUUUUGAAACAUUCUUUGAAUUAUUUAUAGAAGUAUUCUCUUCAAGUCUUGCCAAUUUGAUUUGAAGAUCUCGCAUUCUUCAUAUAAUUUCUUCCAUACUCAUAUCUGCUUUCUUUGACAAGGAUGUCGAAGGUUGAAUUGCAGGCAUUGUCGGUGGUGUUGUAUGUAUUGGAGCUUUGGGUGCUUGUACUGGUUUUGAAAUAUUGCUCCUAUCCUUCCUCCUUUCUUUUUUUGUAAGCAACCCCACCGCAUCUUCAAUGUUCUUCCACUUCGUUGUCAAUCCUUCAUCUUCUUCUUUGUCUUCAAGAAGAGGUUCUAAUUUCUCUUGCAAUUCUCCAUCAGCAGCUUGAAGAAAUAGAUCAACUUAAUUCGGCUCCAAUGUCAAUUUUCUACCUUCGAUAAUUGAGAGUACUGCCUCUCAAAUUCCCUUAGUAGCUCUGUUGCUUGCAAAUUCUUAUUGGGCCGUUCAAUCCAUUCCAGAAACACCUUCUUAGUAACGCGAUCAGCAUCUUUCAAGAAAUAUUCGUCUUUCAAUGCAUGUGAAAAAUCCUCCCAUGAAUUCCCACAACGAUCCGUAAUCGAUGUAAUGUGGUCCCUUAUCUCCGGUAUCGUGGCAAGUCCAAAUAGUGCAACCAUUUUCUUCUCAGAAAUCCGAUUUAAUUCCAUUUCACGAACAUAACAUCUCAAAUACCUUGAAAUAUUCCUCCCAUCAAAUUGAUCAAUUUUAUUGACCACUGCUUGCAAUGCUUUGGUUGCCAAAGCUUCCUUUCGAUCAUUGCUUUGCUGUUGCUGCAUUGACAAUGAGAAGGCUUGAAACAAACUAGCAAUAGACGGAUCCAUGUGCAUACCUUGUCCUUUAGAAGACUCCCCACCAGAAACUUCUCUCAAAAAUCCUUCAAAAUUUUUAUUUUCGAUUUCCAUAAAAAUAAAGAUAAAAUCAAUCGAAAUCUAAUACCUUCUACCUCAAGCUUUCACGUCGGGUUCACCACUUAUGUCGUAUUACGUGCUUUCCUGCUUGAGAACGCGUCGGGCGUCUCGCUGUAGAAGGUAGUAUAGAGAUUCGCCGAUAGUCAAGCAGUCUAUCAGUUUUUGACUGCUGGAAUAUAAACGACUGCAACAAUGUACCGUAAAUCUAUACGGAUGCUCUUUGACUGCUUGUCGAGGUCCUUUUUUUUUUUUUUGCCCCAGCCGAUAGGUCUCUAGACGUUACAGAGAACCCCGAACAACCCAAACUGUUAAUCUUCAAUACCCCUUUGUACUUACGAUCUUGUAUCCACUGACUGUCCUGUUAGAUUAACCCAAUAAAUUUCAUUCACUCCGCAUACUCAAUCCUAUAGACACCCCUUUAAUCCUUCAAUCACAGACGUAACUCGAUUUUACAAAACAGUCAAGAGUAUUCAAACCCACUUCAUUUAAAAAUCCCGAUUCACCAUUACAACACUGACUUCAGCAGCGAUUGCCUCAGUCUUCCCAAAACUCUACGAAGAAGAAAACUCCAAAUUCUAUGUCUUUCCUUCCCCGACCCGAAGCAUGAAGCUCCUCUCUCUAAUUCCCUUGAUCUUCAAAAACCUCCAAUGAAAACCGAACUGGUAACCUUGCAAAGCUUGAAAACUAGCUCCCCCCCCCCCGAUUCCUCGAAAAAAAAAAACCUCCCUCCUCAAAACUAUAUCCCCCCUAACCUUAUCCUCUGAAUUUCUUCAAUCUUCCGUCUUAGAUCCGGAAUUGGCUCCCACCUCAAGCUUGGAUCUGAAAUUGGCUCUCGCCAUCAAGCUUUCUCCUCCGUUUUUACAUUUAAGAAAUCCAUUUACCGAAAACAACGUUCCCUGAAACGGCACAGAGAACAGGACAGUCUGAAACAGAAUCAAACCCCGUAAUCGGGACCACAUUGAGUCGCCUGACCAAUUCAGGUCCUAUAUUGGAAAAGAUGCCCGUAGUAACCUGAAUAUUCCCGUAAUUGGGUCAAAUUGGUCCUCGCGUCAGAUUGGCUAAGACCCGUAGUAAGACUUGGAUUUCCCGUAAUUAGACUGCAUUGGGUUGACCGGCCAAUUCAGGUCUCAUAUUGGAUAAGAGGACCCGGAUUGGAUUAUCGAAAUUGGAUCCAAUUGGCUCCUCGAACCCGUCGUGUGAAUUGAUCCUUCUCUUCCUGCUGACUCCCGUUAUUGGAAUCGAAUGGAGCAUUUCAGUAUGCCCCGGCUGACUGUAACGGAGUGACUGAACCUGACCACUCAGUAUUUGUACUGGAGUUGGUUGAUGCUCCCAAUAUUCGAGGUAACUGAAUAUUAAUAAAAUUCCCCUUUCUUUUUAUUUUCACUGAAUACUCGUGUUACAACACGACACCGUGAACUUUGGCAAGUUGUGAUCCUCAAUCUGUGCUUCCGACUUAUUGUGAAACAUCUAUCGCUAGUGUCUCUACAAGCCCUUUCGAAUGCUCAAGAAGUUCCAAUUCAACCCCGCUUACAGAUUGUGAGGCUAUGUUAUAAUCUGCACCGAUGUCCCUUGGCUGCUUGCCGAUAUUCCUCUUAUCCCUGUUGGUAGGUCCCCAGUUAUCAUAGAAAUCCUAAACAACCCCAAUUUGCCAACUCCGAAUACUUCUUUAUACUGUUGGCAGAUAUUCUUUAUCUAUACAAUCAGAUUAACACAACCACACAUACAUUCAGUAUACUCAACCUUCUAGACAACUCUGAAUUUUAACUACAAAAGUAUCUCCCAUUCCAUCAACUAUCAAGAGCACCAGCCUUUCCUCUCUUACAGAAAAAUCCAGUUUAUCAAUAUCGCACGGACUUUCAGAAACGAUUGCCUCAAUCUUCCCAAAACGCUAUGAAGAAAAAAAAUUCCAAUUCUCUAUCUUUUCUUUUCGAGUAUGAAGCUAGCUCUCCGACCCUUAAAACCCUGAUUCUCCUCUUUUUUUCAUUUCUUAACCUAUCCUCCCUUUUUUACCCUGAGAAGAUCCUAUUCUUCCACCUUGGACUUCCCAAAUUGGAAGAGCCGACCUCCCGCUUUCUCUCCCUUAUUUUUGCCUUUAAAAAAUCUUUUUACCGAAAGGAUGUUCUUGGAAUGGCACAAAGAAUAAAACAACCUGAAAUGGAAUCGAAGCCCCAUAAUUGGACCACAUUGGGUUGCCCGACCAAAUCAGGUCUCAUAUUGGAUAAGAGGCCCAUAAUAGGAUCUUGAUUAGAGGUCUUUUGAAAUUGGAUCCAAUUGGCUCUUCGAACCAAGCUCACCUGACGUUGAAUUGGUCUUUUUUCUUCCUACUGACUCCCGUUACUGGAAUUGAAUAGAACAUUUCAUUAUUGGUGAGUAUGUCCCGGCUGAUUGUAACGGGAUGACUAAACCUAGCCUCUUAGUAUUUGCACUGGAAUUAGCCACCGCUUCUAACACCCAAGGUGACUAAAUAUUAAUAAAUCUUCUUCAUUUAUAUUUUCAUCAUAUAGACGUAUUACAACACGACAUCCAUCCUCUCUGAAUCUGUGCAUCCUCCGGUAUGCACCAAUUAACCUUGUUGCCAUUUGAUUCAUAAUAUUUUCUCCAAAUCUUUGUCUAGUCCAUCUUCAUCGUCUUUGCUAUCCAAUCAAUUUCAUCUUCCCACUGCAAAAUAUCUAUGUCUUCAUUAAGGUCUUCUAUAUUUAUUUCUGUAUAUCUUUGUUUGAAAAAUUUUACUCUCUUCCUUGCAAUUGGUAUUUUUAACCUUGUGCCAUCUAACUCCCGCAAUGAAUAAGUCGUAUUAUCAUGAACAGUUGUUACCACAUACGGUCCAAACCAACGUUUUGAAAACUUUCGUAAAGUGCUAUAUUGGUUGUCCAGACUACUAUCAUAAACAAGUAUUCAACCACCUUCUUCAAUUGCUUUAGAUCUCAAUUGAUGUUGCUUAUCGAAUCGCAUCUUUUUAUGUAACCUUGCUCUUUUUAACCUUUCCAAUGUUAUCUGGACAUCUUCCAAUCUUUGCUCCAAUUGUCGAAUCCUAAUAGCCAGAAGUUCUUCUCUUGUCAAUCUAUCUUCCCAUAGUAGCAUAUUCUAAGUAAAUACCCUUUUUUCAAAUGGCAUAAUUGGUUUUCGACCUAUCAUAAGUUCUAUUGGCAUAUAUCUUGUCACCGAACUAUGUAUUGUUCGAUCAGCCUAUAAUACAAAUGACAAAAGCAAUGGCCACUCUCUAACUUUCCCAUUACAAGCUUUAACUAAUGCUUUCACAAUCGGUAGGUGACCACGUUCGCUUUUUGCAUUCCCUUCCGGAUUAUAAGCCAUAGUCAGUGAUAGUUUAACUCUACAUCUUUCAAAGAACUUAUGAGCUUCUUGUGCAUUUAAUUCUCCAUGAUCUGUAGUGAUUUUUCCUAUGCAUCCAUAGCGGCAAAUGACAUCUUCAAGCAAAAACCUACAAAUCCCCUCUGUAGAUUUUGUCCUCAAUGCUCUUCCUUCUACUUGAUUUGAUAAAUCUUCAUGAGCUAAGACCAAAUAUCUCAUCUGCCAUAACCCAACUAGUAUAAAAACCAAAUCAACAAUCCAUUUAAAAUGAAUAGUCAGAGGAUACAUAGGAUGAAGACCAUCUCGAUGUCAGAUAUUAGAAUACGAUUGACAAAUUUCACAUGAUUAUACAAAUAAGAGCACAUCUUGAUACAUAUUUUUCCACCAAUAUCGUUCCUUGAGUUUAGCAAAAGUAGCCCAGAUUUCUCUAUGCCCUGCCCAUAAACUAUCAUGAAACUCUUUUAAUAAUUUUAGUUUUUCUUCCUUUUUGCCUAUCACUCGUUGUGGCAUCCCAAUUCCUUUCUUCGGUCUCUUCCAAAAGAAUCCAUCUCGAAGCAAAAAUCCAUAUGUUUUUUUUCUUAUUUGUUUGAAUUUAUCUGUAGACCAAUUCCCCUGUUUAGUGAAGGUAUUUAAGUAAUGACCAAUAUCCAAUAAUUCUCCUUCAUAAUAUUCUUCAAGAAAUAGCUUGUCUUCUCAGUUGAGAUUUGAUAUUGAAUAGAAUUUCAAUUCGACGUCAUCAAUAUCUUCAACCAUUUCAUCCUCCCUCUCGUAUCUUACUCGAGAUAGCAUGUUUGCUACUAAAUUGUCCUUCCUAGUAAUAUGCUUAGAUUCUGGAUUUAGUGACUUAAUAUAAGCAAUCCAACUCAACAUUGUAAUAUCUGGCGUUGAACAGUUAGUAAUCAUUCCAAGCAAUGGCAAGCAAUCUGUUUCAAUUACUAGUAAUGCCCCAAUCAAAUAGUCCUUUUUAGCUUUCAUAGCCGAAACAACUCCCCAAAGUUCUCUUUUGACUUGCAAAUAUGCACACUAACGAAUACUUAAAACUUUAGUUUCAAAUCGAACUGCAAAUCUAUUCCCACUUGAAUCAUCUUGAUCCACAGUCCAUCCAAUGGCAAUUGGACUAGUGUCUACAGUAAGAAUCACUGGUCUAUUGCACUUAUAAUCAACCUUCCUCAAUAUUAGACAUGACAUCAAUAAUUUCUUCAAUCUUGGCAUUGCCUGAAUAUGCCUUUUUUUCCAUUUAAAUCGGUAGCCCUUACAUAACAGUUCAUAUAAUAGAUCCACUAUGUGAGCAUAAUGAGGGAUCCAGAUUCGAUAAAAUAUACAUGCACCUAAAAACCUGCGAACCUCUGUUAAAGAAUCACAAUCCUCUUUCAUCCUUCCGAUUACAUCAACUUUAGUCGGAUCUGGUUUUCUUCCAUAAGAUCCACAUAAAUGUCCAACAAUCACAACCUCUUGUACUCCAAAUACAGACUUCAUAUGCGAUAAUGUAAUAUGAACUUCUCCAAGUCGAGUUAAAAUCUUUUCACAAUCUUAUAUAUGAUCAACAACAUAUUUGUGACACCCCCUCUUAUCUAAAGUUUCAUCCUUGUCUCCUUCUCUGCACCCUUUUAUAAGAACAUCAUCCAGAAAAGGCUUAGUCUUCUCCGGAAUAAAAUCUCUCAAUAUCUUAUUCAUUCCAUUUAUCAUAUGCACAAGUGAGUUGAUCGAGUCUUGAGGAAGAGUACACAUUCUAACCAAUCCAAGUAGUGUCCUCAUCGUCGUCAUAUCUCUACUUCCUUCGACAAGUUGAAAUUGAUCAUAACCUGAAUACAAGUCACCCAUUGAAUAGAUCGCUCUUCUUGCAAACGCCUCAGUAAAUUCAUCCACAAUAGGUCUAAUUCUUGCAUUCCUUACAGUUACUGCAUUCACCGGUUGCAUAUCUUGAAUAAACCGUAGUGACCCAUUCUUCUUAGGUACCAUAAACCAUCCACUAGAAUACGGCGCAAACGAAGGUUCCAAUAUUUUCAUCUUUAUCUUUUUUUUUAAUAGUUCAACCAAUUUAGGUAAAUAUGCCCUCGAUAUUGGAAUCGGUCUUAGAUUCCAAAGUACAUGCGGUACAGUGAAGAUAACCAUAGGUGUUAUAAUAUUCGGAUCCACACACCCAAUUUCAUAAGAUUCAAAGGCAAACAAUCUACCUUGUUUAGCCAACAUCUUUUUGAACUAAGUAAUUUCCUCUGACAAUAAAGAACCAUCAGAAUCAAUCUUUAAUUCUUUAAAAACCUCUUUAAUAAACUGAUGUCCAAUACUCAUUGGAUCUCUUAAAUUUGCUUCUUUUGAUGCUUCUCCCAUUUGUUCCUUAAAACCUUUUGAUAAUGGUCCGACAACAGGCUUUACCUUCUUAUCUGCCGUUUUAUAUGUCGUUUCUAUAGUGACUUCUGGUGCUUGAAAAGAUUCAAGUAUGGUAUAAACCUCUCUUGAAUGAAUCUCAACAAUCUUAUCAUUAUCUCCUAACCCAAUAGAUGUAAUCAAUUCUAAUGAAUUUUCCAAUUCAUUUUCUUCAUAAACACCUAAAAUCCUCUCAUCAUCUAGCAAUGUACCUAACUUACGUAAUUCUCCUUUAAUAUUAUAUAAUCUUUUUCUUUCUUUUCUUUUAAAAUCAUCAACUUUCUUAUACAUAAUAUUUCCAUUCUCCAAAAUACUAAUAAAACUCGCAUCAAAGGCACCUUCAUCUCGUGAGAGUACCUCCUCUUUUGUACCUCCAUAAUCUCACUUUAUAAUGGUACCUCCCCAAAAUCCUUAAAUCCUUCAACAAUCUUUGGCAAUGGUUUCUCCUUCAACUUAUCUCGAUUCCGUUCAUGGUUAGGAGGUACUAUUAGAAAUUGUACAGCUUUCCUCCUAUCUUCUCUAUGUACCCUUGCAUAAGCAAAACCAUCGUCAAGUACUUUUGUUUCCAUCUGUGUUGCCAUAAUAUAAGGUUGUCCUAAAAUCAACGGAUAAGAUAUUGUAUCUUGAACAAAGAAAUGUUGCUCCAUCGUAACAUCCCCAAUCCGAAUUUUGACAUCUAGACAAGCUCCAUAUAAUUCGCCCCGUGUGUUAUUAGCUGCUCGUAUUUUCCAUCCAUGUUCCAUAUCAAUUGGCCAUUUUUGCUUCUUAUAAAGAUCUUUAGACAUGAGAUUUAUUUCAAAACCAUGGUCGACUAAAGCAACAAUUGGUUCUUCUAUAUCUCCUGCUUUCACGAAUACCACAGUAGUUGCCCUUGUCCAAUGCUUUCGAGUAUAAUGGCUCAAAGUUUCCAUUUCCUUAUCACUAUAAUCUUUGAAACGUACUCAUUGAUUAUACCCAUUCUUUUCAUUUGUUGGUUGCUUGUAACCAAUAUCAACCUCUUCUUCAUCUUUAUAUAUUCUUGCAUCAAUAGCAUGAUUCAUUCCAGUUUCACCCAUUAAUUGCCUCUUUCACUUAAUGCUGUCAAUGAUAACAUCAUGAAACUCCUUCUUUGCAAUUUCCAAAACUUCUUUCAAUGUGGAUUCCACCUUAGUAUUUAAUAUACGUUCUUCCAACACCCCUUUCAAAUUUGUUGCUACUUCAAUGCCAGAAAGUAGCUUAUAAGCAAUUGAUUUGCCCUUAUCUUUUGUCUCCUUUGUUUUUUCUUCCAAUGAUGCUGAGGUAUCUUUUACAGAUAAAUCUUGUGAAGCUGCCUCUCGAGCCUUGUCUCCUCGACUUUGCCUCUUAGAAGAAUUUCCUUCUCUCGUAUCAUCAAAAUUUUCUCGUCUCUUUUCUUCCAUCAAAGCUUCAUGUUGGCUCUUAGCAAUAUAUGCAUGAAUUGAAAGAGACUCAACAAGAUUUUUUCAACCUGUUGCACCUUGUAUUGUAGCUGCAGUCUUUAAUAAGGCUUCUCGAGGUAAUUUCCCUUCUUACAUUGUAGAAAUGGCAGAAGCCCAAAACUCACUAGUUUCCGUACUUCCACCAAGGUCAUCAUCUAUUCUAGCACUAUAACUUGCACUUUCUCGUGCUGCUGUUUCAUACUCUUUUAAGUAAUCUUGAACCAAUGCUCUCAUUCAUCUCUUGCCAAAAUUAGUUUGAAGAAGAUCCUCCCUAUCUUUUAAUGCUAUCUUCCCAUCUUUUCAGCAAAUAAUUCCUUGCCGUAUCAUAUUAUUAAAUUCAUUGCAAUCUUUCCUAGUGUGUGAAGCGUCAUUACACCAAAUGCAUCUUGGUACAUAUCUUUGUUUUGAAACAUUCUUCAAAUUGUUUGUAGAAGUAUUCUCUUCAAGUCUUGCCAAUUUGAUUUGAAGAUCUCGCAUUCCUCAUAUAAUUUCUUCCAUCCUCAUAUCUGCUUUCUUUGAUAAGGAUGUCGAAGGUUGAACUAUAGGCAUUGUUGGUAGUGUUGUACGUACUGGAGCUUUGGAUGCUUGUACUGUUUUCAAAAUAUUGCUCCUAUCCUUCUUUCUUUUCUCUUUUUGCAAGCAAUCCCAUCGCAUCUUCAACGUUCUUCCACUUUGUUGUCAAUCCUUCAUCUUCUUCUUUGUCUUCAAGAAGGAGUUCUAAUUUCCCUUGCAAUUCUCCAUCAGCAGCUUGAAGAAAUAGAUUAACUUUGUUCGACUCCAAUGUCAAUUUUUCUACCUUCGAUAAUUGAAAGUACUGCCUUUCAAAUUCCCUUAGUAGCUCUGUUGCUUGUAAAUUCUUAUUAGGCCGUUCAAUCUAUUCCAGAAACAGCUUCUUAGUAAUGCGAUCAACAUCUUCCAAGAAAUAUUCAUCUUUCAAUGCAUGUGAAAAAACCUCCGAUGAAUUCCCAUAACGAUCCGUAAUCAAUGUAAUAUGGUUUCUUAUCUCCGAUAUCGUGGCAAGUCCAAAUAAUUCAACCAUUUUCUUUUGAGAAAUCUGAUUUAAUUCUAUUUCAUAAACAUAACAUCUUAAAUACCUUGAAAUAUUCCUUCCAUCAAAUUGAUCAAUUUUAUUGACCACUGCUUGCAAUGCUUUGGUUGCCAAAGCUUUUUUUCGAUCAUUGCUUUGCUGUUGCUGUAUUAAUAAUGAGAAGGCUUGAAACAUACUAGCAAUAGACGGAUCCAUGUGCAUACCUUGUCCUUGAGAAGAACCUCCACCAGAAACUCCUCCCAAAGAUCCUUCAAAAUUUUUAUUUUUGUUCUCUAUAAAAAUAAAAAUAAAAUCAAAUGAAAUCCAAUACCUUCCACCUCAAGCUUUCAUGUCAAAUUCACCACUUAUGUCGUAUUAUGUGCUAUCUUGCUUGAGAAUGUGCUGGACGUCUGACUAUAGGAGGUAGUAUGGUGUUUCGCUAGUACUCAAGUAAUCUAUCGGGUUCUUGACUACCCAAAUUCAAUCUAUAUCAGAUUGCAAUGUAAAAGCUUAAUUCCAAUAUAAAAUUCCUAGAGACCCUAUAUAACUUCAAUCUCUUUUGUUAUUUUUACUUUAUUUUAUUUCUUUUAUGUUUUUUAUUUUAUCUUUAUCGUUAAUUACCUUAAUCAUAGACCGUUGUUGUGUUGUAUCACGAGUAUACUGUAAAAAUAUAAAGAAAGAGGACUUUUAUUAAUGUUCAGUUACCUCAAAUAUUAGGAGCAACGACCAAUUCCAAUGCAAAUACUGAGAGGCUAGAUUCAGUCACCGCGUUACUGUCAGCCGGGGCAUACUGAAAUACUCCGUUCGAUUCUAAUAACGGGAGUCAGUAGGAAGGGAAAGGACCAAUUCACACGACGGGUGAGCCUGGUUCGAAGAACCAAUUGGAUCCAAUUUCAAGAAUCCAAUCCAGGUCCUCUUACCCAAUAUGAGACCUGAAUUGGUCGAGCAAGCCAAUGCAGUCAAAUACGGGAAAAUCCAGGUCUUACUAUGGGCCUCAGCCAAUCUCACGCGAAGGACCAAUUUGAUCCAAUUCGAGAACAUCUGGGUCUUACUACUGGACUCCUAGCCGAUAUGAGACCUGAAUUGGUCGGGCGACUCAAUGUGGUCCCGAUUACGGGGUUUCGAUUCUGUUUCAGGCUGUUCUGUUCUCUAUGCCGUUUCAGAGAACGUUGUUUUCGGUAAAAAGAUCUCUUAAAGAUAAAAACAGAGGAGAAAGCUCUGACGGCGAGAGCCAAUUUCGGAUCCAAGAUGGAAAGAGCCAAUUCCGGAUCUAAGAUGGAAGAUUGAAGAAAUUCAGAGGCUAGGGUUUGAAAGAGAGGAGAAUUAGGGUUAAAGGGGAGGAAGGUUAAGAAAUGAGGGGGGUUUUUUCAGAUCGGGUUUUUCUGGAUCGAAGAGCUAGCUUCGAGCUCUUUUCAAGGUUACUAGUUUGGUUUCAUUAGGGUUUCUGAGAGGAGAGCAAUUGCUGCUCAAAGUCAGUGUUUAUUUUGGUGUUUCGGAUUUUAUAUAAAACAUUGAUGGUUUGCAUUCUCAAUCGGUUUGUGCAAGUCGUGUAGCAUCUAUGGAUUAAAAUUUGGUAUUGUCUGGAUAGUUGGGUGUGCUAAGUGUAUACAAAAAUUUGUGUUAAUUUAACGAUGCAAUCAAGAGAUAUCUGGGUUUUAGUACAAAGGGUUGUCGGAAGUUGGCAGUCUAGGGUUGGAUAGGGUUUCUAUGAUAUCUGAAGAUCUACCAGUUGGAUCGAUGUAAAUUUUGGCUUGGUAAUAGAAGAUUUGGAGAUCAAGCGGCUAUUCAAUUUUGAGCUGGAGUUAACGGUUGACAAAGGAGAAAUCACUUCUGGAAUUUCUACAUCAAAUUUCAAGGUUGCGACCGAGUGUCAUUAGUGCGGUUUUUGGGCGUUUUCUUGUAAUCUGUAAGUUGGGUUGGGCUGAAAUUUUUUGAGCAUAUAGAAGGCUUAUACUGGUAUUUGGGUGCAAAAUUUUACACUAAGUGGACGGUUGGAACAAAAGUUACAGCUUGUCAAAGCUCACUGGCUAGGAUUAGGGCUUGUUAAGAAAAACAAAAACAACUUAAUUAUAAAAGAAAUAAAGCAAUUGAAAUAUUGUAUGGUUAAAAUGACUAUGAAGAGUGUUUUUAAAUACUUAGAAAUUGAUAUUUCAAUUGUAUUCUUCAUACAUGGAUAAAAUCUAUUAGGGUUUCUUUGUUAUUUGCAAAAACAACUAUACCUUCCACAGCCAGAUACCCAGUGUAUUCUCGAACAAGACAGCACGUAAUACGACACCGUGAACUUUGGCAAGCUGUGAUCCUCAAUCUAUCCUUCCGACUUGUUGUGAAACAUCUAUCGCUAGUAUCUCUACAAGCCCUUUCGAAUGCUCAAGAAGUUCCAAUUCAACCUCGCUUAUAGAUUGUGAGGCUAUGUUGCAAUCCGCAGCGAUGUCCCUUGGCUGCUUACCGAUAUUCCUCUUAUCCCUGUUUGUAGGUCCCCAGUUAUCAUAGAAAUCUUAAACAACCCCAAUUUGCCAACUCCUAAUACUUCUUUAUACUGUUGGCAGAUAUUCUCUAUCCGUACAGUCAGAUUAACACAACCAUGCAUGCAUUCAACAUACUCAACCUUCUAGACAACUCUGAAUUUCAACCACAAAAGUAUCUCCCAUUCCAUCAACAAUCAAGAGUACCAGCCUUUCCUCUCUUAUAGAAAAAUCCAGUUCACCAAUACCACACGGACUUUCAGCAACGAUUGCCUCAGUCUUCCCAAAACCCUAUGAAGAAAAAAAAUCCCAAUUCUCUGUCUUUUCUUCCCGAGCAUGAAGUUAGCUCUCCGACCCUUAAAACCCUGAUUUUCCUCUCUUUUUCAUUUUUUAACCUAUCCUCCCUUUUUUACCUUGAGAAGAUCCUAUUCUUUCGCCUUGGACUCUUCAAAUUGGAACAUCCGACCUCCCGCUUUCUCUCCUCCAUUUUUGCCUUUAAGAGAUCUUUUUACCGAAAGGACGUUCCCGGAACAGCAGUAAGAACGGAACAGCCUGAAACGGAAUCAAAGCCCCAUAAUUGGAUCGCAUUGGAUUGCCCGACCAAGUCUGAUCUCAUAUUGGGUAAGAGGCCCAUAAUAGGACCUCGAUUAGAGGUCUUCAUAAAUUGGAUCCAAUUGGCUCUUCGAACCAGGCUCACCUGACGUUGAAUUGGUCCUUUUCCUUCCUGCUGACGUUACUGGAAUCGAAUGGACCAUUUCGUUAUUGGUGAGUAUGCCCCGACUAACUGUAACGGAGUGACUGAAACUGGCCUCUUAGUAUUUUUACUAGAAUUAGCCACCGCUUCUAACACCCAAGGUGACUAAAUAUUGAUAAAUCUUCUUCAUUUAUAUUUUCAUCAUAUAGACGUAUUUCAACACGAAACCGUAAUGAAUCCUGAUCUCUCAAUCUUAUAUCUAUAGCAAUUUGUAAACUGUGGACUUCCAAUUCAAUAGGUAAUAUUGCUUCCUGGCCAUAAACCAAUUGGAAAGGGGUAGCAUUGGUAGUAACUUUAUAUAUAGUACGGUAUGUCCAUAAAGCUGUGAACAACUUAGUAUUCCAAUCUGUUCACAGUUCUGAAACUAUUUUUGUUAAGAUUUUAUAUAAAAUUCCAUUAGUCUUUUCCAUUUCUCCAUUGGUACUAGGGUGAUACGGUGUAGUCUUUUGAUAUUUUAUCUCAUAUUUAGCCAUGAGUGCUUUGAUUGUACUAUUUAUAAAAUAAGUUCCUUGAUCACUAACUACUUCUCGUGGACAACCGAACUGUGUAGUAAAAUUUUUAUACAAAAAAUUUCUACUAUACUUGUAUUAUCGGUUUUCAUAGCUACGGCUUUAGCAUAUUUUGUUACAUAAUCUGUUGCUAUCAGUAUAUAUUAUUUUUGUCCAUUUCUCGAGGCUGGUACAAUUGGUCCUACAAAAUCAAUUCUCUAUUUUUCAAAAGGCACUUGAACCAGAAUUGGUACCAAUGGCAUUGCUGAAGUUCCAGUAUGUCGAUCCAUUCUCUAACAUGGAUCACAAUGAUGGACGAAUUGGUGGGCAUUUGUAAACAUUAUUGGCCACCAAUAACCAACCUAUAAAGCUUUACGAGCUGUGCUGUCUCCCGCAAAAUGUCCACCACAACUAUCUAAGUAGCAACCUUCCAAUAUAGUAUGCAUUUUAGUCUUCUAUAUUGAAAUGUGAUUUUUUUGGUCUUACCUGAAUAGUAAAGUUAAAUUCUUACAAUAGUAAAAACCAUCCUACAAUACAACCAUUUAAUUGAGGCUUAUUAAUCAUAUAUUUUAAAGCAUCAUGGUCGACAUGGAAAACAAAUUCAUAACCAAGAAGAUAAUGUCGAAACUUAUAUACGGAAUAAAUCAUUCUCAAUGCUUCUCUUUUGGUUGUUGUAUAAUUUCUUUCAGCUGCUAUUAAUUGAUGACUUGCAUAAUAAAUAGGGUGAUCAAAACCCCGGUCAUCUUUCUACCUUAGGACAGAAUCAAUCGCGACAUUAGAUGCAUCCAUAUAAACUUGGAAUGGUUUUGUCCAAUAAGGUGCCACCAAUAUUGGUGCUGAAAUCAAUUUUUGUUUCAAUGUUUCAUAUGCAAUUGUACAUUCUUUUGUCCAAAAUGGACUGAUCCCAUCAGUUGGUGGUUUCUUCAAGAGAUUUGUUAAGGGAAGGCAUAUAACUACAAAUAGAUAGAUAAAUCGCCAAUAAUAAUUGACAUGGCCGACAAAUACUCGAACACCUGUAACAGUGUCUAAUUGCUUUAAUUCUAUUAUAAUCUUUAUUUUAUUUGAAUCUGUAGCAAUGUCUGCCAUCAAAAUUAUAUGACCCAAUAAUUUACUAGAAGAUACACUAAAUUGGUAUUUUUCCGAAUUUAAAGAAAUUCCAUAUUUGGCACAUUGAUUCAAACAUUUACUUAGGCAUUCUAAAUACAUGACUCUCAUAUUAAAUGUACAAAAAUCAUCUAGAAAUAUUUCCAUUGAAAUUCAUAGAUAAUCAUCGAACUCUUGCAUCAUUACCCUUUGAAAUGUAGUUGGUGCAUUACAAAGCCCAAAUGGCAUAACCUUAUAGGCAAAGGCCCCUCAAUCCAUAGUAAAAGUAGUUUUUAACUGGUCUUAUUUUGCAAUGUUAACUUGAUUAUAAUCAGAGAAUCCAUCAAGAAAUGAAUUUCAUGUCUGACAAUGGCAUUCAAUAUACUAUCCAUGAAUGAUAAAAGAAAAUAAUCCUUCUUGGUAGCUACAUUUAAUUUUUAAAAAACUUGACAAAUACAAAUUUUUUCAUUCUUUUUUGAUACCAUAACAAUUGGUGAAACUCAUUCACUGAAAGGAACUGGAUAGAUAAAUCUAACCUCUAAGAGUUUAUCUAGUUCUUCUUUUACCAUAAGUGAGUAUUUUGGAUUAAGUCAAUGUUAUCUUUGGCAUACUGGUGUAGCGUUCUCCUCCAAUAUAAUUCGAUGCUCACAAACUUCAAUUGGAAUUCCUUUCAAAUCCACAUACGACUAUGCAAAAGCAGUUUUAUAUGUUAAAAAGUAAUCCACCCAAAUUUCUUUCUCCUUAUCUUUUGUAUUGUCAUAAAUCUAAAUGAUUUGGAGAGCCUCCUCUGUACCUAAAUUAAUUGAUUAACGUCAUAGAAUUUCAGGAGUCUCUAGAAUAAUAUUUUGUUCAAUUCUUGAAACUUUCAUAAAAUCUGCCAAAUUAGAACUUUUCAACUCCAGUUCCAUAGCACUAACGUGAUUAACAUCCUGUCUAUUCAUCCAAUAUGCAAUCAUAUGAUCAGAAUCGUCAAUUACAUCUAAAAGAAUUAAGUACUCUCUCGAAUCCUUGCAUUGGUAUUUCAUUCUAGUGUGCUCAAUAACUUGCCUUGUAUCAGCAUAAAUUAGGUCGAGUGUACUAAUUUCUACUUUUGUAGACUCAUCUUCAUAAUCCGACAUAAAUUCUAAACUAGCAACUUGAGUUUUUCUAUGAUAUUGGACAGAGUAUAUUUGAAGCACAAUUUUAUCAUUACCUUUCUCAAUUGUCAAUGUACCAUAGUCCCAGUCAUUCUGAGCUUUAGCUUUAUAUAACCACGAUCGCCCCAAUAAAAUUGAGUAUGAAAAUAUAGAUCUUUGCAAUCAAAAAAUAAUAUAAUCAAUUUUUUAGGUAAACUCUGCAAAUAUUGUAUCAAUACUUCAUAAAAUACCUAUAGGUUUAACUCGAAUAAAGUCAGUCAUUCUCAAAACUACUCUAAUAGGCAAUAAGUGAUUCAAACCCAACUCCUCCAUUGUAGCGGCAUUCAUAAGAUUUACACUAGAUCCUCCGUCUACUUGUACUCCCGAUAAUAACACUCCAUCAAUUGAGACAUCAAUCGUAGGUGCACCCGGAUUGAGAUUCAAACUUACUUCUUGGAUUUUUUUAUUUCUAGAUUUGCAACAAAUUAAUGAAGAAUUCAAGAUAGUUCGGUACUCAGGUGCUACCACCAAUAGUUGCUUCAUAGAGAUCGUGGGCUAUAUGGUACCGAAAUCUUUUAGAAUAUCAUAUGAUUUUGUAUUAGUGGUAAUUCUGAAUGUCUGUUUCUCCUUCCCAGUCCUAAACACCGACACCGGUAAAUUAGUUUUCUCUAUAUUGGAAAUUGGUAGAGCUACUGGAACUAAAUUUGAUGGAGCCUGUAAAAUUGGUUCUUUCAAGGGAUAAGAUUGUUCUUUCAAUUGGGUUGAUAUUGGUUCCUUAGAAUUUACAUCUUUGAGAGGAUCUUUCAACAGAAAGGACGAUUCCCGAAACUGUGUAGAGAACAAAAUAGCUUGACACGCAACCGAAGCCUCAAUAAUCAGUACCUCAUUAGGGUGCACAACUAAUUCAGGUCUUAUACUGAGUAAGGGGCCUAUGUCUGGACCUAAAUUGGAUGGCCUCGUAAUUCGAUCCAAUUGGCCCUUCACUUCACGAUCAUCCAAAUGUUGAAUUGAUCCUUUUCACUUUUGCUGACUUCUUGUAUGGACAGCUUGGACUACUUCUAUCUGAUGAACUGGUGAAUCUUGAGGACCUUGAUUUAUCUCCUCCAUUUUUUCUUGGCUUUGGAUCUACUGAUUUUGAUUAUUGAAAUUGAACGAAGCAUUAUAUUGCAGAUAAGUAUGUCCCGACUGAUUGCAAUUUACACAUAUUGGUGCAUAAUUGGCACUGGCUCUGGGAUUGGGACAUUCACUGGCAUAAUGACCAAUCUGUCUGCUAUAGAAACAACGAAGUGGUCUUCUUGCACCCCCAUCCGACAUAUUAGGUGUUUCUACCCAUAUGUACCUACUAGAUUUAUUCCAUGUAGGGUUAAAAAAUGAUCUUAGUUGUCCCAUUUGUACGGAGGAUAUUUGAUUUGAUGACGUCGAUGGAACAUAUUGUUGAUACCUCUGCUAUUCCUUCCCAUAGUUCUGAGGGUUUGAUGCACACCACUGAUUAAAAUUGAAACUUUGAAAGUUAUUGAAUGUUCGAUUUUGUCAAUUAGAUUGAUUUCCAUUCUAUCCAUACAUAUUUUCCAUUUGAACUUGAUUGACUUUUCACUGAGUUGGUGGGAUCAUGGUCUGAUUAUUGAAUUGUUGUUGCCUUUGUAAAUACCAGCAGUUUUGGGUAGGGUGCUUUUUUCCGCAAAAUGUACAUUGAACACCCGUUUGUCUCAGUGAUGGAUAUUUUGUAUCAAAAUGGUCUUGUCCCUUAUAAUUAUUACACCAUACAUUAAGUCUCAUAUUAGAAGGCUUAUGUCGUUUCUCCUUAUCUUUAGCCAAAUUUAUGGCCAAUUCUUCCAUUUUCUUUGUUAGAUUUAAUAACAAGGCUUCAUUUGGAUCUUUAACAGUUGCAUUUGUGAACAACUCUGGUUGUUGAUAGAUUGGCAAUGUAAACUAAGGUGUUAUCAUUAUUGGCGCUAUUGCUUGAAGUGGUGUAGUAUUAAUUGGUUGUUACAACAUAACAAUCUUCACAUUAGAGGCUGCCAUUUGUAGAUAAUUAUCCAUCGACACAUUUCUUGGUUGUAUUUGUUGGCUUCUUGAACUUAGAAUCAUCGUGGCCUCUAUUAUUAAUAAUUGGUCAUAAUGACAUUCUUUCCAUACUUUUGUUCGUACCAAUGAUGCUUCUACAGUAGCUGAUCGAGCCUCUUUUAUAAACAUUUUUAAUUCUGGUAGAUUCAAAUCAUUGAUUAAUAUCGACAAUAUAAAUGCAUCUGGCAUUUGAAUAUUUUCCCAUUUACGAAGUAUAUCUAUGACCCAGCCAUAAUAGGACUCUAUUCAUUGCCUCAUAAAUAUCCUACUAUUCAUAAAACUUUCUCAAAGCCAAUCUUUAAAUCUAAUUGGUCUAAAAUGGAUUAGAAAGGCGUUCCUCAAGGCCUCCCAAUUGAGAAAUCUAUCCAAUGGUUGCCAAAUAUACCAUUCAAAAGUUGUAUCUUUUAAAGUUGUUGACAACUAUCUCAACCAAAUAUCUUCAGUUCUAUCAUUAUUAGCCACGCAGGCUAUCAAGAAUUGAGAUAUAUGGUGAUCGGGAUCAGUGCCCGACCAACCACUAAAAAUAGGUAAUAGUACCAUGUUUGUGGUGCGGUCUCAUACUACUCCCAUUUAUACUACAAUUGGUACUUCUAGCACUGCCACGGCCAUUGGUGUUAUCACUGAUCUUCUUACUAUUUGAAUCUGAAUUUUUCUUCCUUUGGUUUUUCUUGGACCUGCAAUUCUUUUUUGUCGUUCCCGUAGGAGAUUUCUUAUGCAUAAUCACUCUUGUCUUUCUUUUGUUUGUCGAUUAAUUCUUUGAAAAUCCUCUCCUCUAUAAUUAUCACUCAUAAUCUUUCAUUCUUCUCGGCAAAAUCAACAUUGCCUUGAAUUAUAACUAAUAUAUUUGUAACCCUAAAAUUGGUUCUUCUCACAUUCUCAUUCAACAUAUAAUUCCAUCUUCCAUACAAUCAAUUUUUAAUAUUUCAUAUUAUUAUCAUUUCCUCGGCAGUGGUGCCAAAAUGUUGUUCUCGUUAUGUUUAAUCUACAAUAGACCAAAGUAAUUGAACUAAUAGAGGUGGGUUUGAACACGGGAAAAGACUGGUUAUAUGAAUUGGGUCUGUUAGUGUCACAAUUGAUUGUACUCUGGCUAUCUGAAAUCAAUUAUUAAACUAAAAAAUACCAAGGCUUACUACUUCCAUUUUAAUUCAACUCAUAAUCCAUUCUAUGAUUAUCAAUUUAACAAUGCUUCUUUCAAUCACAAUUCUUCAUAAGCAAAUAAUAAAGAAAACAAAGAGGUAGCACCAAGCUUACCCCAACUUACGACUCUCAAUUUGGCUCUUGGCUUAUGACUCUCAGUUUGGCUCUCAGCUUACAAUUCUCAGUUUGGCUCUCAACAUACGACUCUCACUCUAACUCUCCGCUUACCUUUCCUCAACCUAUUUAUCCUACUAAAAGAUGAUUCGUCGGCCAGCGGAUUCCAAAGAUUAUGAUCCUUUGAAUUCUUAACCAUUUAUUGCACUAACAACCUACUGUUAUCAACUAAACUGCCUAACCAUCAGUUUAAUUCUCAAGGUUGUCAAUAACCAACCAGUAACUUACCACAAAGUUUAUUUA